UGCUUUUGCAAUUCUUAGAUACCAAAAGCUACAAGAGGGUGAAUUAGGUGAAGAGAAUGUGGCCAGGUCAUUGACAACCAAUCCAGCUGCAAAAUAUGUUAUUCUUGACGAGAUGGAUGAUCAAGAUGAAGGCCCAUGGGAGCUUGGUAAUCAUACAGUUGAAUCUGAUAAAUAAACUUCGGACCGUACAGACAAAAUGUUAUCCGGAGGGGGUUGAUAAUUCUCAUGUUGGCUCAGUGGAGAAGCUUGUAAGAUUGCACCGGCAUAUUGAUAUCUUCAUUCUUCAACCUUUUUCUGUUCUGUUUCUGCGGUUCUUCUAUCAAUUUGGUGGUGGAGAAAAGGAAGUUGUAGAUUUAGAGUGUCGAGACAACUUUUAUUCAACCUUCUGUCCACAGUUAUUAGCUGGUCGAGCCCAUUCAUUAUGGGAUAGUUUACUUUAUAUGCCGUCGAUUGUACAUUUUAUUUUACAUCGAGAUGCGAAAUGCAUUCUAUGAUAUUCAUUAAAUUUUUGUCCCUGCUAGUUGUUCAGAUGUUGAGAACUUAGAUAUAGGAAUACCUUAAGUGCACUUUUCUUCCUUUUCCUUUUGUCCUAAAUGUUGUUUUCGAUCUUGGAUUUGAGGGAUUUGUGGAGGUUUCUAUGUAUUUUGCUCAUGAUAUUCUAUUGAUAAAAUUGAAGUAGGGUUAAAUGCUAUA
Camellia sinensis is the source of this 693-nucleotide long non-coding RNA. RefSeq lists it as uncharacterized. NCBI's taxonomy places the organism in Eukaryota, Viridiplantae, Streptophyta, Magnoliopsida, Ericales, Theaceae. The record is from RefSeq and is a predicted model, not a curated record.